CAGGUGCUGCAUGGCUGUCGUCAGCUCGUGUUGUGAAAUGUUGGGUUAAGUCCCGCAACGAGCGCAACCCUUAUCCUUUGUUGCCAGCGAUUAGGUCGGGAACUCAAAGGAGACUGCCAGUGAUAAACUGGAGGAAGGUGGGGAUGACGUCAAGUCAUCAUGGCCCUUACGACCAGGGCUACACACGUGCUACAAUGGCGCAUACAAAGAGAAGCGACCUCGCGAGAGCAAGCGGACCUCAUAAAGUGCGUCGUAGUCCGGAUUGGAGUCUGCAACUCGACUCCAUGAAGUCGGAAUCGCUAGUAAUCGUGGAUCAGAAUGCCACGGUGAAUACGUUCCCGGGCCUUGUACACACCGCCCGUCACACCAUGGGAGUGGGUUGCAAAAGAAGUAGGUAGCUUAACCUUCGGGAGGGCGCUUACCACUUUGUGAUUCAU
RNAcentral lists this ribosomal RNA (437 nucleotides) under Salmonella enterica subsp. salamae. Its description in RNAcentral is "bacterial SSU rRNA". It matches the Rfam family "Bacterial small subunit ribosomal RNA", at positions 1035 to 1472 of the family's 1533-position model. The record is from RNAcentral. Lineage: Bacteria; Pseudomonadati; Pseudomonadota; Gammaproteobacteria; Enterobacterales; Enterobacteriaceae.